RNAcentral lists this ribosomal RNA (520 nucleotides) under Ceratitis marriotti. RNAcentral describes it as "partial 16S ribosomal RNA". The stretch from base 392 to 520 matches the Rfam family "Bacterial large subunit ribosomal RNA", at positions 2473 to 2601 of the family's 2925-position model. Lineage: Eukaryota; Metazoa; Arthropoda; Insecta; Diptera; Tephritidae. The record is from RNAcentral.
GUCUUUUUGAGUUAUUUUAAAAGUCUAACCUGCCCACUGAAUAAAUUUUAAAUGGCCGCAGUAUUUUAACUGUGCAAAGGUAGCAUAAUCAUUAGUCUUUUAAUUGAAGGCUGGUAUGAAUGGUUGGACGAAGUAUAAGCUGUUUCAUAUAAAAUUAUAUUAGAAUUUUAUUUUUUAGUUAAAAAGCUAAAAUUUUAUUAAAAGACGAGAAGACCCUAUAAAUCUUUAUAUUUAUGUGUAUAUAAAUUUUAUAAAUUUUUUUUUGUUUUUAUAUGUAUAAAUAUUUUAUUGGGGUGAUAUUAAAAUUUAAUAAACUUUUAAUUAAUAUUAAAUCAUUAAUUUAUGAAUUGUUGAUCCAUUAUUAGUGAUUAUAAAAUUAAGUUACUUUAGGGAUAACAGCGUAAUUUUUUUUGAGAGUUCAUAUCGAUAAAAAAGUUUGCGACCUCGAUGUUGGAUUAAGAUAUAUUUUUAGGUGUAGCUGCUUAAAUAUUAAGUCUGUUCGACUUUUAAAUUCUUACAU